GGGGAACUCUGAUGCAGCGACGCCGCGUGAGCGAUGAAGCCCUUCGGGGUGUAAAGCUCUUUCGACGGGAACGAUAAUGACGGUACCCGAAGAAGAAGCUGCGGCUAACUACGUGCCAGCAGCCGCGGUAAUACGUAGGCAGCAAGCGUUGUUCGGAAUUACUGGGCGUAAAGAGUGUGUAGGCUGUGCUCUAAGUUUGUUGUGAAAUCUCCCGGCUUAACUGGGAGGGUGCGGCGAAUACUGGAGUGCUAGAGUGUGGGAGAGGUAAGCGGAAUUCCUGGUGUAGCGGUGAAAUGCGUAGAUAUCAGGAGGAACACCUGUGGUGUAGACAGCUUACUGGACCACGACUGACGCUGAGACACGAAAGCGUGGGUAGCAAACAGGAUUAGAUACCCUGGUAGUCCACGCCCUAAACGAUGCAUACUUGGUGUGAGCCAUUCAUUUGGUUCGUGCCGGAGCUAACGCGUUAAGUAUGCCGCCUGGGGAGUACGGUCGCAAGGCUGAAACUCAAAAGAAUUGACGGA
This 524-nucleotide ribosomal RNA is filed under the name uncultured bacterium. Its description in RNAcentral is "bacterial SSU rRNA". It matches the Rfam family "Bacterial small subunit ribosomal RNA", at positions 375 to 917 of the family's 1533-position model. The record is from RNAcentral.